This 441-nucleotide long non-coding RNA is filed under the name Elaeis guineensis (African oil palm). RNAcentral describes it as "long non-coding RNA (EGUI_LNC062927)". The record is from RNAcentral. Lineage: Eukaryota; Viridiplantae; Streptophyta; Magnoliopsida; Arecales; Arecaceae.
AAGGAGUGAUUGUUGUUGAGUGCAUUUUCGAUUCUCUCCUCCAUUUAUUUGCCAAGAGCCUGGAACUGCCUUUCGAUAUCAAGAUCUCGGACAGUGCAAGCCUCGGAAUACUGCGAAGAAUGAUGGUCAGGGGUUGAAUCAUGCCCCAAUCGUGGAUUGGGAGAUCUUCGUCUGGCCGACUGAUGGCUCUGAUGAGUGUGUCUCCUCUCUGAGCUUUGAGGAGGCACAUGUGGCUCUGGCUAUGGUGGUGGCUGAGGAGUCGAGUGUGGAACCGAAUUUAGUGGGCGCACCAUCAUGGGAGCCGUCGAUGGUGCCGUCGAGAGGGCCACCGGUUGCACCGUUGAAGAAGGUGCAGAGUAGCCUGAAUAGGUUGCGGCAUUGUUGGGGAAUGUGCCAGAAUAGUUUGAACAGUCUGAACGGUGGUCGUUAAGUUUUGGACCU